UACAGAGGUCUCAAGCGUUGUUCGGAUUCAUUGGGCGUAAAGGGUGCGUAGGCGGCGCGGUAAGUCGGGUGUGAAAUCUCGGAGCUUAACUCCGAAACUGCAUUCGAUACUGCCGUGCUUGAGGACUGGAGAGGAGACUGGAAUUUACGGUGUAGCGGUGAAAUGCGUAGAUAUCGUAAGGAAGACCAGUGGCGAAGGCGGGUCUCUGGACAGUUCCUGACGCUGAGGGACGAAGGUCAGGGGAGCAAACGGG
RNAcentral lists this ribosomal RNA (253 nucleotides) under uncultured bacterium. RNAcentral's name for it is "partial 16S ribosomal RNA". It matches the Rfam family "Bacterial small subunit ribosomal RNA", at positions 524 to 776 of the family's 1533-position model. The record is from RNAcentral.